Molecule: non-coding RNA, 115 nt
Organism: Triticum aestivum (bread wheat)
Lineage: Eukaryota; Viridiplantae; Streptophyta; Magnoliopsida; Poales; Poaceae
Source: Rfam
UGAGUACUCCCUCCGUCCGGAAUUACUUGUCAUUAAAAUGGAUGUAUCUAGAACUAAAAAACACCUAGAUACACCCAAUUCAAUGACAAGUAUUUCCGGACGGAGGGAGUACAUA